RNAcentral lists this ribosomal RNA (22 nucleotides) under Tsuga chinensis. Its description in RNAcentral is "partial 18S ribosomal RNA". The record is from RNAcentral. Lineage: Eukaryota; Viridiplantae; Streptophyta; Pinopsida; Pinales; Pinaceae.
UGAACCUACGGUAGGAUCAUUG